RNAcentral lists this ribosomal RNA (450 nucleotides) under uncultured bacterium. RNAcentral describes it as "partial 16S ribosomal RNA". It matches the Rfam family "Bacterial small subunit ribosomal RNA", at positions 354 to 796 of the family's 1533-position model. The record is from RNAcentral.
GUGGGGAAUCUUCCGCAAUGGACGAAAGUCUGACGGAGCAACGCCGCGUGAGUGAAGAAGGUUUUCGGAUCGUAAAGCUCUUUCGUUAGGGACGAACGUGCUCUUUGUGAAUAAUGAGGAGUAAUGACGGUACCUAAAUAAGAAGCCACGGCUAACUACGUGCCAGCAGCCGCGGUAAUACGUAGGUGGCAAGCGUUGUCCGGAAUUAUUGGGCGUAAAGCGCGCGCAGGCGGGAUAUCAAGUCUGUCGUAAAAGUGCGAGGCUCAACCUCGUGAGGGGACAGAAACUGGUAUUCUUGAGUGUCGGAGAGGAAAGUGGAAUUCCUAGUGUAGCGGUGAAAUGCGUAGAUAUUAGGAAGAACACCAGUGGCGAAGGCGACUUUCUGGACGAAAACUGACGCUGAGGCGCGAAAGCCAGGGGAGCGAACGGGAUUAGAUACCCCAGUAGUCC